UUCUAGGAAUGCUACCAGAGUGUCAAGACAAUUGGAUCUGAUACCCAGCAAAGAUUAUUGCCCUCUAUUUGUUGGCGAUAAGAGGGUCCAGCAGACGGAGUUUGACUACACGGAAUUAAACAAGGACACUAUUAAGGUCAUUGGAUCCUGAACCAUGCAGAACGAUUUUUAUCUUACAUGGAAAAUGAUAUCACAAAACGAUUGUUCAUUUUAAACUCUUAUUGGCUGCUCUGGACUUUAAAGUAUAUAUAGAAUAAAUUUCAUAAGUUAAUAUUAUUAAUGAGGCAAGGGUCUUUAAUUUAAAAUAAAUUUUUUUUUUUUAUUCUGACUCCUAUUUAAGAAAAAAAUCUAUUAUGCAACAUAAAUAAAUUGUUACAUUUUACUGUAACGUAACCAAUUGAACUCAAUAAAGUAUA
Copidosoma floridanum is the source of this 416-nucleotide long non-coding RNA. Lineage: Eukaryota; Metazoa; Arthropoda; Insecta; Hymenoptera; Encyrtidae. The record is from RefSeq and is a predicted model, not a curated record.